AACGAACGCUGGCGGCAGGCCUAACACAUGCAAGUCGAGCGGACCCUCCGGGGUUAGCGGCGGUCGUGUGAGUAACGCGUGGGAAUAUGCCCUUCUCUACGGUAUACUCCUGGGAAACUGGGGUUAAUACCGUAUACGCUCUUUGGGGAUAAGAUCUACUGGGGAAGGUUUGGCCUGCGUUGGAUUCGGCGGUUGGUGGGGUACUGGCCUGCCAAGCCGUCGUUCCAUGGCUGAUUUGUGAAGAUGACCAGCCACAAUGGCCCUGAGACACGGCCUAGACUCCUACGGAAGGGAGCAGUGGGGAAUCUUAGACAAGGAAGGCAGCCCUAGUCAAGCCAUGCGGGGUAAGUGAUGAAGGCGUUAGGGUUGUGAAGCUGUUUCAGCUGGGGAGAUAGUGACGGUACCGGCAGAAGAAGCCCCGGCUAACUCCGUG
This 433-nucleotide ribosomal RNA is filed under the name uncultured bacterium. RNAcentral's name for it is "partial 16S ribosomal RNA". It matches the Rfam family "Bacterial small subunit ribosomal RNA", at positions 29 to 507 of the family's 1533-position model. The record is from RNAcentral.